This 253-nucleotide ribosomal RNA is filed under the name uncultured bacterium. RNAcentral's name for it is "partial 16S ribosomal RNA". It matches the Rfam family "Bacterial small subunit ribosomal RNA", at positions 524 to 776 of the family's 1533-position model. The record is from RNAcentral.
UACGUAGGGGGCAAGCGUUAUCCGGAUUUACUGGGUGUAAAGGGAGCGUAGACGGCGAUGCAAGCCAGAUGUGAAAGCCCGGGGCUCAACCCCGGGACUGCAUUUGGAACUGUAUAGCUAGAGUGUCGGAGAGGCAGGCGGAAUUCCUAGUGUAGCGGUGAAAUGCGUGGAUAUUAGGAGGAACACCAGUGGCGAAGGCGGCCUGCUGGACGAUGACUGACGUUGAGGCUCGAAAGCGUGGGGAGCAAACAGG